GCCCGCAUAGUGUAGCGGUUUCUGCACGGAGUCCUGAUAAGACUUAGGUCCUGGUUCAACUCCAGGUGUGGGUAC
Molecule: transfer RNA, 75 nt
Filed under: Microbacterium phage Cece
Lineage: Duplodnaviria; Heunggongvirae; Uroviricota; Caudoviricetes
Description: tRNA-Ile
Rfam family: tRNA
About the family: Transfer RNA (tRNA) molecules are approximately 80 nucleotides in length. Their secondary structure includes four short double-helical elements and three loops (D, anti-codon, and T loops).
Source: RNAcentral